UACGACCAUGUCAUGUUCAAACAUCGGUUCUCGUACGAUCACCGAAGUUAAGCCAGUUAAAACCGGGUCAGUAUCUAAAUGGGUGACCACUUGGGAAUACCAUAUGCAGU
Molecule: non-coding RNA, 110 nt
Organism: Acanthosepion pharaonis
Lineage: Eukaryota; Metazoa; Mollusca; Cephalopoda; Sepiida; Sepiidae
Source: the annotation of a GenBank genome assembly